This 344-nucleotide transfer RNA is filed under the name uncultured cyanobacterium. RNAcentral's name for it is "partial contains 16S ribosomal RNA, 16S-23S ribosomal RNA intergenic spacer, and 23S ribosomal RNA". The stretch from base 150 to 223 matches the Rfam family "tRNA". The record is from RNAcentral. Lineage: Bacteria; Bacillati; Cyanobacteriota.
UGGAUCACCUCCUUAAAGGGAGACCUAAUUCAGGUAUGGGAUGAAAAAAAAGUAGUCCCAACCAAGAAUCAAUCCCAAAAGGUCGGAGCGAGGCAAAAUUGGCUUUCAAACUAGGUUCUGGGUUCACACAAGACCUGAAUCAGGAACAAGGGCUAUUACCUCAGGUGGUUAGAGCGCACCCCUGAUAAGGGUGAGGUCCCUGGUUCGAGUCCAGGAUGGCCCACCUGCACAGGUGGCCAAAACAAAGAAAAAAAGCUCCGAAUCAGCACCUUAUCUUACUUAUAUAGAAAGAGAGAAUGCUGGCUCUGAGUACAGAGUCCAAAGGAACCUUGAAAACUGCAUAA